GGCCUAACACAUGCAAGUCGAACGCCCCGCAAGGGGAGUGGCAGACGGGUGAGUAACGCGUGGGAAUCUACCUAGUUCUACGGAACAACAGUUGGAAACGACUGCUAAUACCGUAUACGCCCUACGGGGGAAAGAUUUAUCGGAAUUAGAUGAGCCCGCGUAAGAUUAGCUAGUUGGUGGGGUAAUGGCCUACCAAGGCGACGAUCUUUAGCUGGUCUGAGAGGAUGAUCAGCCACACUGGGACUGAGACACGGCCCAGACUCCUACGGGAGGCAGCAGUGGGGAAUAUUGGACAAUGGGCGCAAGCCUGAUCCAGCCAUGCCGCGUGAGUGAUGAAGGCCUUAGGGUUGUAAAGCUCUUUCAGUGGGGAAGAUAAUGACGGUACCCACAGAAGAAGCCCCGGCUAACUUCGUGCCAGCAGCCGCGGUAAUACGAAGGGGGCUAGCGUUG
RNAcentral lists this ribosomal RNA (450 nucleotides) under uncultured Alphaproteobacteria bacterium. Its description in RNAcentral is "bacterial SSU rRNA". It matches the Rfam family "Bacterial small subunit ribosomal RNA", at positions 45 to 543 of the family's 1533-position model. The record is from RNAcentral. Lineage: Bacteria; Pseudomonadati; Pseudomonadota; Alphaproteobacteria.